UUUAGAACAGAUGUUAGUAUUUUUAAAAAAACGUCACGUGAAACGAGCAGAUGUUCAGACUGUGCAGAGACUCGCCGUGCAGCGCAUUACUGCAGAGAGAGAGAGAGCUCGGAGGAGCUUUGCUUCCACACAGACUGUGAGUCUGCAGUCCUACAUUAAAAUCAUCCAGCAGGUUUGAUUAAAAUGGAUUAAUAAAAAGGGCCACCUGCAGGGAGUAACAGGAUCUGGAGCUGACUGUACGCGCUGAGACAAAGCAGGAGCGUCGGUGCCUUAUCACACGAGGCGUCAGGAUCCUUCAGUCCACCGACAGAGGAGCCACCUGGUCAGAUGACCACAACCAUGACAUCAACAACAACAGCAACAAUAUGAAAAACAAGUGACUGACACUGAGUGACCAC
This is a long non-coding RNA of Perca fluviatilis (European perch), 398 nucleotides long. RefSeq lists it as uncharacterized. Lineage: Eukaryota; Metazoa; Chordata; Actinopteri; Perciformes; Percidae. The transcript has 3 exons. The record is from RefSeq and is a predicted model, not a curated record.